GACGAACGCUGGCGGCGUGCUUAACACAUGCAAGUCGAACGAUGAAGCCUUUCGGGGUGGAUUAGUGGCGAACGGGUGAGUAACACGUGGGCAACCUGCCCUCCACUCUGGGAUAACUCCGGGAAACCGGGGCUAAUACUGGAUACGACCACGGUCCGCAUGGGCUGUGGUGGAAAGUUUUUCGGUGGAGGAUGGGCCCGCGGCCUAUCAGCUUGUUGGUGGGGUGAUGGCCUACCAAGGCGGUGACGGGUAGCCGGCCUGAGAGGGCGACCGGCCACACUGGGACUGAGACACGGCCCAGACUCCUGCGGGAGGCAGCAGUGGGGAAUAUUGCACAAUGGGCGAAAGCCUGAUGCAGCGACGCCGCGUGAGGGAUGACGGCCUUCGGGUUGUAAACCUCUUUCAGCAGGGACCAAGCGUGAGUGAGUGUACCUGCAGAAGAAGCACCGGCUAACUACGUGCCAGCCGCCGCAGUAACAC
RNAcentral lists this ribosomal RNA (480 nucleotides) under uncultured bacterium. Its description in RNAcentral is "bacterial SSU rRNA". It matches the Rfam family "Bacterial small subunit ribosomal RNA", at positions 28 to 526 of the family's 1533-position model. The record is from RNAcentral.